GCGUAGUGUAAGUUAGUAAUGUAAUUGAGUGCCGAUCGCUUUCAAGCAAAAUCGUAAACAAAGGGAGAAAGUGAUCCUAGUUUCAAAAGGAAAUAGCAGCUCGUACAUUAAUACCUCCCUAGAGAGAUUGAAACCUGGCGAACCCGAAGAUGACGAAUCCGGAGAGCCGGAGAGGAGGUCUGUUUCAAAUAGCAACAGAAAGACGUAAAA
Molecule: unclassified non-coding RNA, 210 nt
Filed under: Hevea brasiliensis (rubber tree)
Lineage: Eukaryota; Viridiplantae; Streptophyta; Magnoliopsida; Malpighiales; Euphorbiaceae
Source: RNAcentral